NGGAGAUGCAGCAUAUUAAUAAGCGGAGAAGAAACAAACCAGGAUUCCCUCAGUAACGGCGAGUGAAGAGGGAGAAGCCCAGUACCGAAGCCUGCGGCAGGUUUUUCGGUAGGCCAUGUGGUGUGUGGGUUGGCUGGCGGGACCGCCACUCCACUCCAAGUCCAGCCCGUAAGAGUGGAGGCUCAGGCAGGUGAGGCGGUUCACCAGGCCGGCUCAGGAGUCGGGUUGUUUGAGAUUGCAGCCCAAAGUGGGUGGUAAACUCCAUCCAAGGCUAAAUACAGGCACGAGUCCGAUAGCGGACAAGUACCGUGAGG
RNAcentral lists this non-coding RNA (314 nucleotides) under Echinococcus granulosus. Its description in RNAcentral is "Eukaryotic large subunit ribosomal RNA". It matches the Rfam family "Eukaryotic large subunit ribosomal RNA", at positions 29 to 358 of the family's 3401-position model. The record is from Rfam by way of RNAcentral. Lineage: Eukaryota; Metazoa; Platyhelminthes; Cestoda; Cyclophyllidea; Taeniidae.